GAUGAACGCUAGCGGCAGGCCUAACACAUGCAAGUCGAGGGGCAGCACGUCUUCGGAUGGUGGCGACCGGCGCACGGGUGCGUAACGCGUAUGCGACCUACCUCUUACAGUGGGAUAGCCCAGAGAAAUUUGGAUUAAUACCGCAUAGUAUGCGACAUCAGCAUUGAUUUUGACGUAUUAAACAUUCAUGGGUAAGAGAUGGGCAUGCGUUCUAUUAGUUAGUUGGAGUGGUAACGGCACCCCAAGACAGCGAUAGAUAGGGCCCGUGAGAGGGGGAGUCCCCACACUGGUACUGAGACACGGACCAGACUCCUACGGAGGCAGCAGUGAGGAAUAUUGGACAAUGGGCGGGAGCCUGAUCCAGCCAUGCCGCGUGCAGGAGACUGCCCUA
RNAcentral lists this ribosomal RNA (391 nucleotides) under uncultured bacterium. RNAcentral's name for it is "bacterial SSU rRNA". It matches the Rfam family "Bacterial small subunit ribosomal RNA", at positions 28 to 418 of the family's 1533-position model. The record is from RNAcentral.